Molecule: ribosomal RNA, 807 nt
Filed under: uncultured bacterium
Lineage: Bacteria
Description: bacterial SSU rRNA
Rfam family: Bacterial small subunit ribosomal RNA
Source: RNAcentral
AGAGUUUGAUCAUGGCUCAGGAUGAACGCUGGCGGCGUGCCUAAUACAUGCAAGUCGAGCGAACUGAUUAGAAGCUUGCUUCUAUGACGUUAGCGGCGGACGGGUGAGUAACACGUGGGCAACCUGCCUGUAAGAUUGGGAUAACUUCGGGAAACCGAAGCUAAUACCGGAUAGGAUCUUCUCCUUCAUGGGAGAUGAUUGAAAGAUGGUUUCGGCUAUCACUUACAGAUGGGCCCGCGGUGCAUUAGCUAGUUGGUGAGGUAACGGCUCACCAGGGCAACGAUGCAUAGCCGACCUGAGAGGGUGAUCGGCCACACUGGGACUGAGACACGGCCCAGACUCCUACGGGAGGCAGCAGUAGGGAAUCUUCCGCAAUGGACGAAAGUCUGACGGAGCAACGCCGCGUGAGUGAUGAAGGCUUUCGGGUCGUAAAACUCUGUUGUUAGGGAAGAACAAGUACGAGAGUAACUGCUCGUACCUUGACGGUACCUAACCAGAAAGCCACGGCUAACUACGUGCCAGCAGCCGCGGUAAUACGUAGGUGACAAGCGUUAUCCGGAAUUAUUGGGCGUAAAGCGCGCGCAGGCGGUUUCUUAAGUCUGAUGUGAAAGCCCACGGCUCAACCGUGGAGGGUCAUUGGAAACUGGGGAACUUGAGUGCAGAAGAGAAAAGCGGAAUUCCACGUGUAGCGGUGAAAUGCGUAGAGAUGUGGAGGAACACCAGUGGCGAAGGCGGCUUUUUGGUCUGUAACUGACGCUGAGGCGCGAAAGCGUGGGGAGCAAACAGGAUUAGAUACCCCAGUAGUCC